Molecule: ribosomal RNA, 576 nt
Filed under: uncultured Neocallimastigomycetes
Lineage: Eukaryota; Fungi; Neocallimastigomycota; Neocallimastigomycetes
Description: partial large subunit ribosomal RNA
Rfam family: Eukaryotic large subunit ribosomal RNA
Source: RNAcentral
CAUAGAGGGUGAGAAUCCCGUAUUUGGUUAUUCUUUCUAGCUUUGUGAUACACUUUCAAAGAGUCGGAUUGUUUGGGAAUGCAGUCCAAAAUGGGUGGUAAAUUUCAUCUAAAGCUAAAUAUUGGCGAGAGACCGAUAGCGAACAAGUACCGUGAGGGAAAGAUGAAAAGAACUUUGAAAAGAGAGUUAAACAGUACGUGAAAUUGUCAAAAGGGAAGCGUUUGACACCAGUGUUGUUUUUCCGAAAAUCAAUUACGAAUGGCUUGAUUUUGUGUUGUAUUGACCUUAUCAGCUUUCUUCACUCUUUUUCGAGUCUUUCUUAAUGCACUUUUCGGUUAACAAGUCAACAUCAAUUUCUUUUGUUGUAAAAGGGUAUUUGGAAGGUGGCUUUCUUUUCGGAGAAAGUGUUUAUAGCCUUAUACCUCUGCAAUCGGAGAGAUUGAGGUCUGCAGCGUAGAUCCUUCGGGGCUAGAUACACUUGUGCUAAGUUAUAGCUUUUCAUAGACAACUUGUUGACUAUGUUUAGUCAUGUAGCUUACCCGCUUGUGCUAUUUUACCUACGCUUAGGAUGUUGAA